CGGGGUAUAGCGCAGUUGGCUAGCGCGCCUGCUUUGGGAGCAGGAGGUCCUGGGUUCAAAUCCCAGUACCCCGACCA
Molecule: transfer RNA, 77 nt
Filed under: Candidatus Veblenbacteria bacterium RIFOXYB1_FULL_43_13
Lineage: Bacteria; Candidatus Vebleniibacteriota
Also listed under: 4 other names
Description: tRNA-Pro
Rfam family: tRNA
About the family: Transfer RNA (tRNA) molecules are approximately 80 nucleotides in length. Their secondary structure includes four short double-helical elements and three loops (D, anti-codon, and T loops).
Source: RNAcentral